RNAcentral lists this ribosomal RNA (255 nucleotides) under uncultured bacterium. RNAcentral's name for it is "partial 16S ribosomal RNA". It matches the Rfam family "Bacterial small subunit ribosomal RNA", at positions 524 to 776 of the family's 1533-position model. The record is from RNAcentral.
UACGGGGGGAGCAAGCGUUGUUCGGAUUUACUGGGCGUAAAGGACGCGUAGGCGGCCACCGCAAGUCAGUUGUGAAAUCUCUGGGCUUAACCCAGAACGGUCAGCUGAUACUGCGGGGCUAGAGUGCAGAAGGGGCAACUGGAAUUCUCGGUGUAGCGGUGAAAUGCGUAGAUAUCGAGAGGAACACCUGCGGCGAAGGCGGGUUGCUGGGCUGACACUGACGCUGACAGCGCGAAAGCUAGGGGAGCGAACGGG